RNAcentral lists this ribosomal RNA (440 nucleotides) under uncultured bacterium. Its description in RNAcentral is "partial 16S ribosomal RNA". It matches the Rfam family "Bacterial small subunit ribosomal RNA", at positions 339 to 795 of the family's 1533-position model. The record is from RNAcentral.
CUACGGGGGGCACCAGUGAGGAAUAUUGCACAAUGGGGGGAAAAGGGGGGCAGCAACGCCGCGUGGAGGAUGACGCAUUUCGGUGUUUAAACUCCUUUUAUAUGUCAAGAAAAUGACGGUAGCAUAUGAAUAAGCACCGGCUAACUCCGUGCCAGCAGCCGCGGUAAUACGGAGGGGUGCAAGCGUUACUCGGAAUCACUGGGCGUAAAGGACGCGUAGGCGGGUUGGAAAGUCAGGUGUGAAAUCCUACAGCUUAACUGUAGAACUGCACUUGAAACUUCUAAUCUAGAGUAUGGGAGGGGGAGAUGGAAUUAGUGGUGUAGGGGUAAAAUCCGUAGAUAUCACUAGGAAUACCUAAAGCGAAGGCGAUCUCCUGGAACAUUACUGACGCUAAGGCGUGAAAGCGUGGGGAGCAAACAGGAUUAGAUACCCGGGUAGUC